UACAUGUGGGGCAAGCGUUGUUCGGAAUCACUGGGCAUAAAGGGUGCGUAGGUGGUUGCAUGCGUCACGGGUGAAAGCCAGCGGCCCAACCGUUGAAUGGCCUGUGAUACGGUGCGACUUGAGUGUGUGAGGGGUAGGGGGAACGAGCAGUGUAGCGGUGAAAUGCGUAGAUAUUGCUCGGAAGGCCAACGCCGAAGGGACCCUACUGGUACACAACUGACACUGAGGCACGAAAGCGUGGGGAGCAAACAGG
Molecule: ribosomal RNA, 253 nt
Filed under: uncultured bacterium
Lineage: Bacteria
Description: partial 16S ribosomal RNA
Rfam family: Bacterial small subunit ribosomal RNA
Source: RNAcentral